GUCGAGAAUCUUCCGCAAUGGACGCAAGUCUGACGGAGCGACGCCGCGUGCGGGAUGAAGGUCUUCGGAUUGUAAACCGCUGUCAAGCGUUAUGAACAAGCAGGGACCAACAAUUCCUGCUCUGACAAAGGCGCUAAAGGAAGCCACGGCUAACUCUGUGCCAGCAGCCGCGGUAAUACAGAGGUGGCAAGCGUUGCUCGGUGUCACUGGGCUUAAAGGGCGCGUAGGCUGUGCGGUACGGUUCGGGUGAAAUCCCUCGGCUCAACCGAGGAACUGCCCGGGCGACGGCCGCGCUGGACUGCAUCAGGGGACGAUGGAACUCCCGGUGGAGCGGUGAAAUGCGUAGAUAUCGGGAGGAACGCCGGUGGCGAAAGCGAUCGUCUGGGGUGCAUGUGACGCUGAGGCGCGAAAGCCAGGGGAGCAAACGGGAUUAGAUACCCCGGUAGUCC
This 449-nucleotide ribosomal RNA is filed under the name uncultured bacterium. RNAcentral describes it as "bacterial SSU rRNA". It matches the Rfam family "Bacterial small subunit ribosomal RNA", at positions 354 to 796 of the family's 1533-position model. The record is from RNAcentral.